UAAUACGAAGGUGGCAAGCGUUGUUCGGAUUUACUGGGCGUACAGGGAGCGUAGGCGGUUGGGUAAGCCCUCCGUGAAAUCUCCGGGCCUAACCCGGAAAGUGCGGAGGGGACUGCUCGGCUAGAGGAUGGGAGAGGAGCGCGGAAUUCCCGGUGUAGCGGUGAAAUGCGUAGAGAUCGGGAGGAAGGCCGGUGGCGAAGGCGGCGCUCUGGAACAUUUCUGACGCUGAGGCUCGAAAGCGUGGGGAGCAAACAGGAUUAGAUACCCUGGUAGUCCACGCCUUAAACGAUGGAUACUAAGUGUCGGCGGGUUACCGCCGGUGCCGCAGCUAACGCAUUAAGUAUCCCGCCUGGGAAGUACGGCCGCAAGGUUGAAACUCAAAUGAAUUGACGG
RNAcentral lists this ribosomal RNA (393 nucleotides) under uncultured nitrite-oxidizing bacterium. RNAcentral describes it as "bacterial SSU rRNA". It matches the Rfam family "Bacterial small subunit ribosomal RNA", at positions 521 to 916 of the family's 1533-position model. The record is from RNAcentral.